Molecule: RNA transcript, 2011 nt
Organism: Hippocampus zosterae (dwarf seahorse)
Lineage: Eukaryota; Metazoa; Chordata; Actinopteri; Syngnathiformes; Syngnathidae
Gene name: acyl-CoA-binding domain-containing protein 5-like
Exons: 15
Source: RefSeq, a predicted model, not a curated record
AACCAAAAUGAUGUGGUGGAUGCACUACGUUUCCCAUGUAUGACUGCGGUUUAAAUCCCUCUUUCCCAAAGCAUUGUGGGAAUUGAGGAACUCCCUCCAAAGGUUAUCUGAUUUUUAAAAACUACAUUUCCCGAAUUGAUUGUACUGUACAUCUCCUGCUUAUUUGGUUCCUCCGUGUCGAGAUUCAUUUGAAAUAUUCGGCAUUUGCAGAUUUUCGCUGUAAAGGCGUACUUUUUGGUGAGGACUCUUGCGUUGACGGUAUCCAUGGCGCAGGAGGAUCAACACAGCCUGCAGGCUAAAUUUGCUGCUGCGGUUAAAGUCAUCUGGAGUUUACCGAAACAAGGUCCUUUCCAGCUGUCUGAUGACAUGAUGCUCAUGUUUUAUAGUUAUUACAAGCAAGCCACCGUAGGGCCUUGCACCUUUACCAGACCAACUGGUUUCUGGGCAUCACAGGAAAAAAACCAAUGGGAUGCAUGGAGCUCUUUAGGAAACAUGUCAAAGGAAGAAGCCAUGAAGAAUUAUGUUGAAAACAUCCAGCUGAUUUUGGAGACGAUGCCGGUCUCAAAUGAAGUUUCUGACUUGGUGCGGCAGCUUGGCAACUUCUACUCGGAAGAAGAGGAGGGUGGAGGUGAAGAGAAUGAAGUGGAGAGCAGACCUUUCACAAGGCCUUUUGCAAACCAAGCAGAGCUGGUCAGUCCAAAGAAACCCGCAAUGGAAGGCUAUGGAGAUCUGUGGGACGAUAUACAAAACCUCCAAGAAGAAACUAGCAUGAGCUUUAAUGGAGCAAAGGCGGUAGAAUGCGAGGAGGAUAUCGGAUAUCUGAGAAAAGAAGAAAUGGGUGAAGUGGACAAUGUAGACGAAGAAGACGAGGCGGAUGGAGAAGGGUGGGGCCUCGAGCCGAGGCUGCACGCGCCACAGGACACGACGUGGAGGUGUUGCACCAGGGGGUCCGGCAGCAGCGUAGAACCGAGCAUGUCGUCGUUGACCAACGGCACCCGCAGCUCCCUCGAUAGUGAGGUGGAGGAGGAAGAGCUGGCCUAUUCUAAACAACACAGCACGUGCGGCCCCAUCUACGUGGACUUUCAUGGACACUUGCUCGAUCACAACGAUGCUGUCAAGCAGAGCUACCACUUGGCAGACUCCGACAAUGAGGAAUUCUGUGAUUCAAUGGAUGAUCCAACCAUGGGCAAGCUUCCGUCUACGUCACAAAUCCAGUCAGGCGGCUCAACGUGUACCCUGGGGAAGGAACACGGUCUUUGGUUUGAGAGCUCCUCCGCCCUUAAAGCGGAAGACCGUUCACUUCGAGUCAAUUCUUGCGACGAGGAGCCUCACAAAGACGUUCGAGAGUCUCCGUCACCAAAGACUGCUUGCAGCUGUCAACUGUGGUUGCGUACCUGCGACAGCGUGUCAGAGUGCAGGCGCCACAGCGCCACUUCUUGGGCGAACGUCAAUGAGCAAAUAGUUAAGGCACUUUUGAAAUUGCAGGACGACAUGAGCGAUGCGCUGCAUCGGCUGCACACUUUAGAGGGGCUCACUGUGGCACAGCAUUUCAAGUCAAGCUCAUCCUUAUCGAGGUGUGCAGAUACUCCACCGCUAGCACAAAAGUUUUUCACACCUUCUUGGUGGCCGUUUGACCAUUCUCCAAUUACCAUGGUGAUGACAGCCCUUUGGCCUGCAAUAGCCUUUGGUCUGGUCCAGCUUUAUUCACGGCGCAAGCGACGAUGAAACAUCAUGGAACGGCUUUAACUAGAAUAGGCAUGACGAAACGAUCAAGAUUUAAACAUUUGUUGCAGAAUAAACAAGUCACCAAGUGUAGCUGCCCCAUUAUCUUUUGGUUCAUGGUAUUCACACAGGUAUUGUAACAUUUAGAAUUUGAGGAAGGAGCAGGAGGAGCUGCGGUUGCCAGUGUGAGUUUGUCAUGGCUGUCGCAGAAGGCCAUUUUCAAUAAAAGUGUGAACAUUACAAUAAUAAAGAUAAAAUGUUGGGAAAAUGUGUACCUUUGUUAUUAUUU